Long non-coding RNA from Strigops habroptila (Kakapo), 1415 nucleotides. RefSeq lists it as uncharacterized. The transcript has 2 exons. Lineage: Eukaryota; Metazoa; Chordata; Aves; Psittaciformes; Psittacidae. The record is from RefSeq and is a predicted model, not a curated record.
GGAAGCGCGGAGCAAGGGACGGGAUCUGUUCUCCAGGGGGGCUGUCGUGCUCUGGGGAGAAGCGGCGUUUCCCGUGGCCGCGGCUGCGCUGUUCGGGAUGGGAGCCGUGGAGCAGGAGGGCAGCGCCCGCUGUGAGCGAGGGGAGCCCGGGCACCUCACCCCGGCCGGAGGCGUCCCUCCAGGCUGUUCCACCGCCCGAAACGCAGCCAGUGCGCUUUGCCACCAGCACAGGGAGGUGCCGUGAGCCAGAGCACAAGGCACCCGCAUGGAGCCAUCCCACCUUCCAUUCCCAACUGGCAUUCCCAGCCAGCACCGGCACGAUGCUGGAUGUUUUCCACGCUGCGUACACCCAUUGCCAUGCCGGGAUGGCUCGGACCCCAGGUCGGGUCACACUCUGACACAGCAUGUCCUGGGGAACAUCACCAACGCCAUUCUGGAGACUCACCUGAGGUGGAAAAGCACGUGAAAAUUCCUCUCACAUUAGGUUACCCGGGAUACUCCCUUCCCUCGGGACGGAGGAGGAGGAAACGCGCAUGAGCAAAAUCCCAGUGUCAAAUGGAAAACAGUAAAAGCGGGAGGGAAUUUUAUGGGCAAACAAAAGGAGGUAAAAAUAAUCUCGUCAGGAAAGGAGGGGGCUGCUCACGCGCCGGGCCAUCACGGUGCCAUACGGCCAUUAAACGUUAGGAAGGAUGCGGCAACAGAUACCACCGGCUGCUUCCUGGGUGGAGGGGUUGCCGGAGUGACAUGCUCUGGGUAAGACACUUUUCCCUAUGAAAUACUCACGCUCCCAUGCCUCAGACACACACCGCUCCAAACAGAUGCACCAAGGCUUCGGCAGAUCCCACCAGCUCAGUGCAGGUUUUAGGAUUUUGGAGCUAUUUUUGCUUAAAGAUUGGGAAAGAGAGUCCCUGGAGUCCUCUCUCCCAAGGGAAACAAGCUCUGUCAGGGCUUCCUUCCCACAUGGUUCUGGGGCCUGCCCAUGCCAAUUAUGUGUUCGCAGCACCCAGCACUGGAAAAUGAGCCUGAAACCGUGAUUUCCAGAGUAAAUAUGAGCUAUAGUUUUACUGUCUGAAUCUUGUACAAUGAAUGAAAGGGAAGCAGGGAGUACGGAACGAGGUGGUGGACCUGGAAUGCUGGUGGCCUCACUGUCCUUUUCACCGAAUAACUGCCCAGUGUCGUCACCGAUUUGUUUCAGGAAGAGGUUUGGGGUUCAUGUGUCAGGCGAAACGCUGGGCAGGAAAGCACAAAUUAGAGUCGUGUUUGUGCUUUUUAGCUGUAACUCAUUGAUUUAUGGAUUUUGAUGAAGUGAUUACAGAUGAAAGAAAACAUUCCAGGGAACAAGAUCAGCACGUUGCUGUGGUCUCAUGUCUUUCUGUGUGAGUUACAGUGGAAAAUAAAGCAAGAGAAUCACUGGG